This 484-nucleotide ribosomal RNA is filed under the name uncultured bacterium. RNAcentral's name for it is "partial 16S ribosomal RNA". It matches the Rfam family "Bacterial small subunit ribosomal RNA", at positions 29 to 507 of the family's 1533-position model. The record is from RNAcentral.
AUUGAACGCUGGCGGCAUGCUUUACACAUGCAAGUCGAACGGCAGCGCGGGCUUCGGCCUGGCGGCGAGUGGCGAACGGGUAAGUAAUGCAUCGGAACGUGCCCAGUAGUGGGGGAUAGCCCGGCGAAAGCCGGAUUAAUACCGCAUACGACCUGAGGGUGAAAGCGGGGGACCGAAAGGCCUCGCGCUAUUGGAGCGGCCGAUGUCGGAUUAGCUAGUUGGUGGGGUAAAGGCUUACCAAGGCGACGAUCCGUAGCUGGUCUGAGAGGACGACCAGCCACACUGGGACUGAGACACGGCCCAGACUCCUACGGGAGGCAGCAGUGGGGAAUUUUGGACAAUGGGGGCAACCCUGAUCCAGCCAUGCCGCGUGCGGGAAGAAGGCCUUCGGGUUGUAAACCGCUUUUGUUCGGGAAGAAAUCCUCUGGGCUAAUACCCCGGGUAGAUGACGGUACCGGAAGAAUAAGCACCGGCUAACUACGUG